AAACGGACUAAGUAUUAGACAAAAUCCUAUGAGAAUAACAAAUUUAACAUCAAAACCAAAUACAUGAAUUUGGGAUAGAUAAGUACCGUGACACAUCUUAUAGUAAUGUGAAUGCCCACUCACAAAUAAGAGAAAACAAACAACACAACGGAAACACAACGUUAAAAUGUAACACUCACAGAAACAAACUAUAAUAUAACAAUGGCC
RNAcentral lists this long non-coding RNA (207 nucleotides) under Mytilus galloprovincialis (Mediterranean mussel). Lineage: Eukaryota; Metazoa; Mollusca; Bivalvia; Mytilida; Mytilidae. The record is from RNAcentral.